Molecule: transfer RNA, 66 nt
Filed under: Micrasema sp. XG-2021
Lineage: Eukaryota; Metazoa; Arthropoda; Insecta; Trichoptera; Brachycentridae
Description: tRNA-Glu
Source: RNAcentral
AUUUAUAUAGUUUAAAAAACAUUAUCUUUUCAUGAUAAAAUUAAAAAUUUUUAUUUUUUGUAAAUA